Molecule: long non-coding RNA, 564 nt
Filed under: Brassica napus (rape)
Lineage: Eukaryota; Viridiplantae; Streptophyta; Magnoliopsida; Brassicales; Brassicaceae
Description: long non-coding RNA (BNAP_LNC008778)
Source: RNAcentral
UAAUCAAUUUCCUGGCCGACUUGCUCUUUACGAAUAACAAUUGACCACACAAACUUAUAGUCACUUUUCCACCUUAUAGCGUAUUUUAAGUUGUUAAGCAUAUAUGCAUAUAACUCCAAUAAAAAAUAGGUAAAACAAAAGCAAACGGUCCUUUGGCAAUAUCUUUUGUUCAUAAUUCGGUUAAUAUAUGAUUUGGAAGUGUAUGAAAAUUAAUGUUUCAAAAUUUGGUUAUUACAAAAUUAAAGUGGCGAGGGUCAAUAUGACAACGGAGGAUUUUGUGGUGGACAGAAGACGAGUAAGACUUCUCCACUAGUUCAUGAUGCGAAAAAACGCUGCCUCCUUUGAUUCCAUUCAUCUCUUUUACGAGCAGCCCAAUUGACUAAAACAGACCAACUUCUAGAAAGUUCUAAGACGAGAUAGUCUGACCUCAGUCAAACCAUUCUUUAUACGCGGUUUAUGAUUUAAAAGCAUCAAAAUACACACAUAUGACAUAUGCUUGGGCAGUUUGCUCGUAUAAACGAGGCUGCUUCCUCUGAAUCCACAUUCCAUAAGAAAACGUUAGGU